GGAUCAGUGGCGAACGGGUGAGUAACACGUGAGCAACCUGCCCUGAACUCUGGGAUAAGCGCUGGAAACGGCGUCUAAUACUGGAUAUGAGCUGCGGAGGCAUCUUCGUGGUUGGAAAGAUUUUUCGGUUUGGGAUGGGCUCGCGGCCUAUCAGCUUNUUGGUGAGGUAAUGGCUCACCAAGGCGUCGACGGGUAGCCGGCCUGAGAGGGUGACCGNCCACACUGGGACUGAGACACGGCCCAGACUNCUACGGGAGGCAGCAGUGGGGAAUAUUGCACAAUGGGCGGAAGCCUGNAUGCAGCAACGCCGCGUGAGGGAUGACGGCCUUCGGGUUGUAAACCUCUUUUAGCAGGGAAGAAGCGAAAGUGACGGUACCUGCAGAAAAAGCGCCGGCUAACUACGUGCCAGCAGCCGCGGUAAUACGUAGGGCGCAAGCGUUAUCCGGAAUUAUUGGGCGUAAAGAGCUCGUAGGCGGUUUGUCGCGUCUGCUGUGAAAACCCGAGGCUCAACCUCGAGCCUGCAGUGGGUACGGGCAGACUAGAGUGCGGUAGGGGAGAUUGGAAUUCCUGGUGUAGCGGUGGAAUGCGCAGAUAUCAGGAGGAACACCGAUGGCGAAGGCAGAUCUCUGGGCCGUAACUGACGCUGAGGAGCGAAAGGGUGGGGAGCAAACAGGCUUAGAUACCCUGGUAGUCCACCCCGUAAACGUUGGGAACUAGUUGUGGGGUCCAUUCCACGGAUUCCGUGACGCAGCUAACGCAUUAAGUUCCCCGCCUGGGGAGUACGGCCGCAAGGCUAAAACUCAAAGGAAUUGACGGGGACCCGCACAAGCGGCGGAGCAUGCGGAUUAAUUCGAUGCAACGCGAAGAACCUUACCAAGGCUUGACAUACACGAGAACGCUGCAGAAAUGUAGAACUCUUUGGACACUCGUGAACAGGUGGUGCAUGGUUGUCGUCAGCUCGUGUCGUGAGAUGUUGGGUUAAGUCCCGCAACGAGCGCAACCCUCGUUCUAUGUUGCCAGCACGUAAUGGUGGGAACUCAUGGGAUACUGCCGGGGUCAACUCGGAGGAAGGUGGGGAUGACGUCAAAUCAUCAUGCCCCUUAUGUCUUGGGCUUCACGCAUGCUACAAUGGCCGGUACAAAGGGCUGCAAUACCGCGAGGUGGAGCGAAUCCCAAAAAGCCGGUCCCAGUUCGGAUUGAGGUCUGCAACUCGACCUCAUGAAGUCGGAGUCGCUAGUAAUCGCAGAUCAGCAACGCUGCGGUGAAUACGUUCCCGGGUCUUGUACACACCGCCCGUCAAGUCAUGAAAGUCGGUAACACCUGAAGCCGGUGGCCCAACCCUUGUGGAGGGAGCCGUCGAAGGUGGGAUCGGUAAUUAGGACUAAGUCGUAACA
This 1394-nucleotide ribosomal RNA is filed under the name marine firmicute HTB096. Its description in RNAcentral is "bacterial SSU rRNA". It matches the Rfam family "Bacterial small subunit ribosomal RNA". Lineage: Bacteria; Bacillati; Bacillota. The record is from RNAcentral.